UUCCACAGGCCUUCUCUUUAUUUACUUACGUGACAAUGUGAUAAUAUAUUAAAAAAACAACGUCAUUCUAAUGUUAUGUUACCUGUAGCAGAAGCAGACUCAAAAUGAGUCCAUAGUCCAGUAAAUGAGAUUAGCAUGCUGAGAAAGGUGUCUGCAAACAUUCAGUUUUGUGUGUGGUGUAGGACACGAUUGUAAUAAAUGAGGUAGGAGUUAUUUAACUACAUUUAUCAUGGGCAACAUUCUUAUGCGCAUCCACCAGAGCUGUAAUAAUUAGAAAUUUUUCUCUACAAUUGAUUUAUAAACUUUGAAAUGUAAUCAUUCCUUUUUCUAACAAAUAACAGUUUUGAAGGACUCCCAGGGUAGCUACAUCUUUUGGUUAUUAUAUCACUGGCAUGUGACCCAGAUAAUGUAAUAACGCAGCCUAGGAAGUAAACCACGCCUCUUUAUUAUCAUAAAACAAUGUAUUUUUUUCUUAAAUAAUCAUAAAAUUGACAAAGCCAUCAACAGCCACACCCCUUGGGACCUUAGCUAAUGUUAACAAUUAACUGCGGUUAAACAAAGAAAAGGCAGUUACCUUAAAAUGUUUGCCUUUAGACAAAUAUGUCAUCAUUGUUACAGGCCUAAAUCCAUCCUUUCACUAGUUGUGACAAAGACAGAUUGAAAAAAGGCUGUCAUUGAUAUCUUUUUGAAUAAAUUAAGAUGGGUUUUUUACUCCCAGAGUCAGGCUGUCACUGAACCAUAAGCCAGUUGUGAUGUGCGAAUGCUGCAGUAUCCUGCACCAAGAGGAUAUACAUAGUUGCAAAACUUGCUCUUCAGCUAAGCAUCAGAUUACUGAUAUCCAUCAGCACACUUAAAGUGUCUGCUUAUUCUGGAACGUUUCUUCCUUUGCUCACACAAGGAGCAGUA
Long non-coding RNA from Etheostoma cragini (Arkansas darter), 906 nucleotides. RefSeq lists it as uncharacterized. The record is from RefSeq and is a predicted model, not a curated record. Lineage: Eukaryota; Metazoa; Chordata; Actinopteri; Perciformes; Percidae. The transcript is spliced from 2 exons.